Molecule: transfer RNA, 69 nt
Filed under: Terriglobia bacterium
Lineage: Bacteria; Pseudomonadati; Acidobacteriota; Terriglobia
Description: tRNA-Leu
Source: RNAcentral
CCGGUGGUGAAGAUCUGGGAUACUUCGCCUGUUAAGCGGGAGGACGCGGGUUCAAAUCCCGCCACUGGA